Molecule: ribosomal RNA, 520 nt
Filed under: uncultured Acaulospora
Lineage: Eukaryota; Fungi; Glomeromycota; Glomeromycetes; Diversisporales; Acaulosporaceae
Description: SSU rRNA
Rfam family: Eukaryotic small subunit ribosomal RNA
Source: RNAcentral
AGCAGCCGCGGUAAUUCCAGCUCCAAUAGCGUAUAUUAAAGUUGUUGCAGUUAAAAAGCUCGUAGUUGAAUUUCGGGGUCUGUCCAUUGGUCGGGCUUUACGGUCCGUACUGGUGAGAUGGGUUCCUACCUUCUGAAUAACCGGCAUGCCAUUCAGUUGGUGCGCCGGGGAAGCAGAGCUAUUACCUUGAAAAAAUUAGAGUGCUUAAAGCAGGCUAUUGCUUGAAUAGAUUAGCAUGGAAUAAUAAAAUAGGACGGCAUGGUUCUAUUUUGUUGGUUUCUAGGAUCACCGUAAUGAUUAAUAGGGAUAGUUGGGGGCAUUAGUAUUCAAUUGUCAGAGGUGAAAUUCUUGGAUUUAUUGAAGACUAACUUCUGCGAAAGCAUUUGCCAAGGAUGUUUUCAUUAAUCAAGAACGAAAGUUAGGGGAUCGAAGACGAUCAGAUACCGUCGUAGUCUUAACCAUAAACUAUGCCGACUAGGGAUCGGACGAUGUUAAUUUUUUAAUGACUCGUUCGCGCCUU